GCACCUCUCACUCCCUUUCUCUAACUAGUCUUGUGUGCACCCAUUUAUGUGUACGUACUAUUAUCUCAUAAAUAAAUAUUUUUAAAAUUAGAUGCAUUUAUUGAUAUGAAAAAGUUACAAGAUUAGUUUGUUGUGUGUGAGACUUUGGAUCGACAGAUCGAAAAAUUAACUAACCGGUCAGUAUUGAAUAUCAACUAUUAUAUGCUCCAUGCAUUCGCUUAUAGUUUCACACAAUUUGUUUUCUUCACGGUCUAAAAUCAGAAGAUUCCAUAUAUUUUCUUAUGACGUAAAAGGACCACUUAUAAGUUGACACGUCAGCCCUUGGAUUCGUGAGGUUUUUCUCUCUACUUCACCUAUCUACUUUUCCUCAUAUCCCACUGCUUUUCUCCUUCUUGUUCUUGUUUUUCUCGUUUUUUUCUUCUUCUUCUCCAAGAAAAUAGAGAUCGAAAAGAUUAGAUCUAUUUUGUGUAGCAAGAAAUUAUCAUUUUCGUUUCUUCAUUCAUAUAUUGUUCUAUUAUGUUGUACAAUAAUAGAUACUCGAUCUCUUGUGCGUGCGUAAAUUUUAUACAAGUUGUCGGCGGAUCCAUGGAAGAAAGC
This 597-nucleotide unclassified non-coding RNA is filed under the name Arabidopsis thaliana (thale cress). RNAcentral's name for it is "partial MIR172b microRNA precursor". Lineage: Eukaryota; Viridiplantae; Streptophyta; Magnoliopsida; Brassicales; Brassicaceae. The record is from RNAcentral.